UACGUAGGGGGCAAGCGUUGUCCGGAAUUAUUGGGCGUAAAGAGCUCGUAGGCGGUCUGUCGCGUCGGCUGUGAAAACCCGGGGCUCAACCCCGGGCCUGCAGUCGAUACGGGCAGACUAGAGUGCGGUAGGGGAGACUGGAAUUCCUGGUGUAGCGGUGAAAUGCGCAGAUAUCAGGAGGAACACCGGUGGCGAAGGCGGGUCUCUGGGCCGUAACUGACGCUGAUGCACGAAAGCUAGGGGAGCAAACAGG
This 253-nucleotide ribosomal RNA is filed under the name uncultured bacterium. RNAcentral describes it as "partial 16S ribosomal RNA". It matches the Rfam family "Bacterial small subunit ribosomal RNA", at positions 524 to 776 of the family's 1533-position model. The record is from RNAcentral.